UGGGAAAAGGUAUCUGCAGCCUCUCAAAUGGCCCUCAUCGCCACCAAGUGUAGACCUGCCCAUGUGACCUGCCCAUGACAACCCCGUAGGGGACAGCUGGCUCUGGCCGGACAGUCUCUGCGCUCAGAUCAGGGAGGGGGCAGGCGAAUGACCGGAGCAAUUCCCCGCAGGCCUAUUCCAGAGCGGCAAGUGUGAAAAUGCAGCCUUCACGGUGGAUUACCGGCCUCCAGGAAUCUGUCACCUCCAGGCCUGGGGAAGAGGGGGAGGGCGAAUUCUGUUUCUUCACGGGAGAAUUCCUUUCCAUGUCCAGCCUGUGGCCCGAGCAACA
This is a long non-coding RNA of Suricata suricatta (meerkat), 328 nucleotides long. RefSeq lists it as uncharacterized. The record is from RefSeq and is a predicted model, not a curated record. NCBI's taxonomy places the organism in Eukaryota, Metazoa, Chordata, Mammalia, Carnivora, Herpestidae. The transcript is spliced from 2 exons.